RNAcentral lists this small RNA (372 nucleotides) under Pseudomonas bubulae. Its description in RNAcentral is "Pseudomonas sRNA CrcZ". It matches the Rfam family "Pseudomonas sRNA CrcZ". The record is from RNAcentral. Lineage: Bacteria; Pseudomonadati; Pseudomonadota; Gammaproteobacteria; Pseudomonadales; Pseudomonadaceae.
ACAAGAACAAUAAGAAUCACAGCAGCACACAAUAAAAAUAAGACGUAUCGGCUCACGCAUAACAAGAACAACACGGCGGAGGCGCAGCUAACUGAUUGUUUUGGAGAGGUGUUGUAAAUGGGGCUUGCCCCGCGACCAGGCAGAGAACAACAAAAACUGCACUUAAAGCAGAGCCUGAACUGGUUGGAUCAUUGAUCACAUCAACGCAGCGACCAAAGCAAUCCGUUUGCUCUUAUCUCCCGAUUGGGAGGGUUGCACAGGCAAGACCUUUGUAACCAGGGCGAUUAACAAAAACAAAAAGCCCGCAAUCAAUAAUAAAAAUAGAGCACGCAACUAAUUCUGGGGGAGCUUCGGCUCCCCUUGUGGUUUCUG